RNAcentral lists this transfer RNA (66 nucleotides) under Pterolophia sp. ZJY-2019. RNAcentral describes it as "tRNA-Ser". The record is from RNAcentral. Lineage: Eukaryota; Metazoa; Arthropoda; Insecta; Coleoptera; Cerambycidae.
GAAAUAUGUAAUCUCAUAAAUAAGCUUCUAACUUAUUUUAAAGCGAUGAAAUUCGUUUAUAUUUCU